Molecule: ribosomal RNA, 594 nt
Filed under: Pediococcus ethanolidurans
Lineage: Bacteria; Bacillati; Bacillota; Bacilli; Lactobacillales; Lactobacillaceae
Description: bacterial SSU rRNA
Rfam family: Bacterial small subunit ribosomal RNA
Source: RNAcentral
UAAUACAUGCAAGUCGAACGCACUUUCGUUAAUUGAUUUUGAGAUGCUUGCAUCGAAGAUGGUUUUAACUAUAAAGUGAGUGGCGAACGGGUGAGUAACACGUGGGUAACCUGCCCAGAAGUGGGGGAUAACACCUGGAAACAGAUGCUAAUACCGCAUAACAAAAUUAACCGCAUGGUUGAUUUUUAAAAGAUGGCUUCGGCUAUCACUUCUGGAUGGACCCGCGGCGUAUUAGCUAGUUGGUGAGAUAAAGGCUCACCAAGGCAGUGAUACGUAGCCGACCUGAGAGGGUAAUCGGCCACAUUGGGACUGAGACACGGCCCAGACUCCUACGGGAGGCAGCAGUAGGGAAUCUUCCACAAUGGACGCAAGUCUGAUGGAGCAACGCCGCGUGAGUGAUGAAGGCUUUCGGGUCGUAAAACUCUGUUGUUGGAGAAGAACGUGUGUGAGAGUAACUGCUCAUGCAGUGACGGUAUCCAACCAGAAAGCCACGGCUAACUACGUGCCAGCAGCCGCGGUAAUACGUAGGUGGCAAGCGUUAUCCGGAUUUAUUGGGCGUAAAGCGAGCGCAGGCGGUCUUUUAAGUCUAAUGUG